This 254-nucleotide ribosomal RNA is filed under the name uncultured bacterium. RNAcentral's name for it is "partial 16S ribosomal RNA". It matches the Rfam family "Bacterial small subunit ribosomal RNA", at positions 524 to 776 of the family's 1533-position model. The record is from RNAcentral.
UACGUAGGGGGCAAGCGUUGUCCGGAUUUAUUGGGCGUAAAGAGCUCGUAGGUGGUUCGGUAAGUCGGAUGUGAAAUCUCCAGGCUCAACCUGGAGGGGUCAUUCGAUACUGCCGUGACUAGAGGUCGGUAGGGGAGUGUGGAAUUCCUGGUGGAGCGGUGAAAUGCGCAGAUAUCAGGAGGAACACCAAUGGCGAAGGCAGCUCGCUGGAACGGUACUGACGCUGAGGCGCGAAAGCGUGGGGAGCGAACAGG